CGUGGGAUGAUCGAUUAGAUACCCUAGUAGUCCUUGCUGUAAAUGAUGAAUGUCAUAGACUAGAUAUUUAUUUGGUUUAUAAAUGAAAGUGUAAGCAUUCCACCUCAUGAGUAAUGUGGCAACGCAGGAACUGAAAUCAUUAGACCGUUUCUGAGAACAGUAGUGAAGUAUGUUAUUUAAUUCGAUGACCCACGUAAAACCUUACCACAACUUGAAUGUCAAACGUGAAUAAGGAAGUAAAAAUAAAGCCAACUAACCAUUGGAUGCAUGCUUGAUAACACACCUUUUUUUUUAGCGUUUACGCUCGUUUACGCUCGUUUACGCUCGUUUACGCUAAAGAAAAAAGUGUAAUGCAAGAGAGAGCCUUAGGUAGUUAGCCAGGGAAAUGUUGCAAUACAUUUCAAUGUCAAAUUAGACAUGGGUAACCUGUUAAUGUUGAAAUACAUUACGUUUACGUGUAGCCUAAAAAACUACAUUUACCUGGAAGAUGUUGAAAUACAUUUAAAUGUAGAAAUACAUUUGACACGGUUGAUACACGCGUUGCACGGUUGUCUUUAGCUAAUGUCGUGAGAUUUUGGUUAGCUCCAUAAAAUUAGCGUAAACCCCGGUUCUAUUUAAAAAAAUUAAUAAUACAAUAAUAUUAUUAUUGUGAUAGAGCAGUUCAUCACUAUAUUGAAUACAUAAAGAGAUAACAGGGACGAUGACAAAUCAUCAUGGCCUGAAUGUUGUGGGUUGAAGGGCCCCAAAUAUAUUAAA
RNAcentral lists this ribosomal RNA (756 nucleotides) under Coccomyces fanjingshanensis. RNAcentral describes it as "SSU rRNA". It matches the Rfam family "Bacterial small subunit ribosomal RNA", at positions 760 to 1240 of the family's 1533-position model. Lineage: Eukaryota; Fungi; Ascomycota; Leotiomycetes; Rhytismatales; Rhytismataceae. The record is from RNAcentral.